CUGGUGUAGGCAAAUGUCUGAGCCCUUCUGGAUGAACUCAGGGCGUCCCUGAGAACUGUGGACCUGGCACAGACCUCUGCAGGGUGUAAGCCUGCUCUGGGGUGAGCUUUCGUUCACUGUGGAGCAGAAAAUGCUUCUAUGAGCGUCAAUUCACUGUGUCCUGGCUGGCCUCAGGCCUCAGAGAUAUCCUGCAGAGCAUGGGGAAGCCUUACGGCCAUGGGCUUCUCUGCUAAGACCUGGUGACGUCAUGCUGGCUGGAAGCUGACAAUUGAAGUCAAUUCACUCUCCAAAAUUGCUGCACCCCUGCUGCGUGCUAAGCUCAUUAAAGUUGAAUGAGCUAA
Cebus imitator (Panamanian white-faced capuchin) is the source of this 341-nucleotide long non-coding RNA. RefSeq lists it as uncharacterized. Lineage: Eukaryota; Metazoa; Chordata; Mammalia; Primates; Cebidae. The transcript has 2 exons. The record is from RefSeq and is a predicted model, not a curated record.